AAUAAAUUUCUAAAAG
RNAcentral lists this small RNA (16 nucleotides) under Arabidopsis thaliana (thale cress). Its description in RNAcentral is "ATSL008370". Lineage: Eukaryota; Viridiplantae; Streptophyta; Magnoliopsida; Brassicales; Brassicaceae. The record is from RNAcentral.